Molecule: long non-coding RNA, 1324 nt
Filed under: Scleropages formosus (Asian bonytongue)
Lineage: Eukaryota; Metazoa; Chordata; Actinopteri; Osteoglossiformes; Osteoglossidae
Description: lncRNA (ENSSFOG00015027185.1)
Source: RNAcentral
GUGAGGGUGUGCUGUGCAGUCUCACAGUGGGCUGUUGCUCUGUAUCUCCAAGGGAGCCUUGGGUCCUGGAGCCCCAUGCAGUCUGAAGACCCCAGCUACCAUGUCCCUGGUCUCCAUGGGGUCCAGCACAGUGUCCAGCUUGCUUCGCCUUCUGCACGGGUCACAGCAAUGUGGAGCCCAUCCCAGAAUCACUGGAUGCCAAGCUGGGAGGGGUGCGCUCUGGAUGAGACACCAGUCCAUCUCAAGGUAGCCAUACAUACACCCACUGUUACACAGUUUGACAUUAUGGGCAAUUUAGAGUCACCGACUAACCUGUCUUUUUAGUCUGUGGGAGGAAACCAGAGCACUCAGAGGAAACCCAUACAAACAUUAACCACAAAACUUCGGGAGAACACGAAAAUUGAGCUGGAUUCCGACCUACGUCCAAACGCAGGUGCUGUGAGGCACCAGUGUUAGCUACUGCGGCACCAAAGUACAGGUUUGGACUUGAUUUAAUUGGUCUGAAGGUGGGUCAACCUACUAAAUUCUCCAUUUUUAUAUUUCUGUCUCUGCAUUCCCAAGGUAACUCAAAGAUUAAUUAAUGUCAACUUUGAGACUGACUUCAGUUUGCUGCAGUAUUUAUUAAUUGCACUUUUGCAGAAAUGUUUAUUGUGCCUUUUUUGUGCCAUGAGAAACAUACAGUACUGACUUUUUUCACUAAGGUAUGAAAUUCCAAGUUUAGUGGAAAUUCAUUACUCAUUUCAAUGGAAAGUGGUAAAUGAGAGAAACUAAGAAAUUCUUAUAUGUUUAUAUAUAUGUGUGUGUAUCAUCAUAAACAGUGUACACUAAUUACUUCACUGAACUGAAGAAAAAUGUAGACCAACGAAAGACUAAAGAGUAGUUUACAAGCGGACUUCUGUCAUACUUGAUGGAAUCUGUGCACCAUGGGGAUUUGCGGCUGUACACGCCCAUGGUGACACUGCUUCACUGAGCUCUGAAAUCAGAGGCAGGUGCGCUAGUAACGGAUUUCCCUUUUUCCACGCGAUGCUCAGGGAUGAUGGACUGUUGUUGGAGUCAAACGCCUUCAUGCUUGCUGAGACCGUGUGGGCGAAGUCACUUGGUGGAGCCCGGCUGUGUCCUUGUCCCAUUGGAGUCAGUCAACAUCGCUGCCUUUCACUGUGUGAAUGGCUUCAGUGUUACACUUUUGGCAUUAUUGCUAGAAGGCACCUGGAAGGAAAUUCUAAGACUUGCUUCCAGUAAAACAUUUGAAUUUUAGAUUAUUUCUGACAAGCAAUAAUUACCUGUUAUGGUUGUUAUUUAGUCUUUUAUGUAAAUGUAUAAUUUA